GUUAUGUUCACUCAUCACCCCUUUGAAGUCAGCUUUGAGUGCUUGGAUUCUGGUUACUUCCAAUCUGUUUUUUAUCUCUCACUUCAGCUGCAUGUACAUAGAUUCAGAGAUGGUGAAAACUGGAAAGGACUUCACAGGUCUUCUAAUCUAGGGCAUCCUCAGUUAACGGAUCAUCAUUGUGAGAUCACUCAACUGGUUACUGCUGCCAGCUCUGCUCUCCAUUAAGUGUCCUUGUUGAGUUUGCCUCCAGUGACAGCUGGAGCAAGAACACAGUCAUCUGGGGCCACAUCUCGCUGACACUGGCUCAGUGACCAGGAUCCUUCCUGUGAGCCAAACCCAACCAGAAGCUGGAGGGAACAGGAGUCAGUUCCAUUAAGAUCAGCCACUGGGGACAGAGAUCCAGGUGGAGAAUGCUGAAGAAAGCAUCUGGAUGUGCAAAGUUAAUACACUUGCUGGUUGGUCUGGGCUCUUCUCCACUGCAGCCUUCCAAUGAGUGCCAGCCGUCUUUCUCAGCAAAGCGAAUUUGUUCAUCUGUUUACGUGUCAGAGCUUUCUAUUGCACUCAAGUGUCCGCACUUAGUUUGACCUUCUCUGGACUUUUUGGUCUAUAUGGAAGAAGAAUGGCAGCCAAAGCCAUUGAGUUUUACAUCCUCCCAUCCAAUUAACUGAAGACAGACUGACUCUCUUCUUGGUUCCGUAUAUCCUGAGAAAGACUUAGGACCCAGGUUGGGUCAGGUGCUGCAACCCUGGAUAUUCAGCUGAGGCUGAGGACCCUAGAAGAAUACGAACAAUUUGGACAUCUGUUGAAUUAUUCUUUGAGUAAUUCAGGAUAUAUGCACAUUUCUGGAA
Molecule: long non-coding RNA, 848 nt
Filed under: Equus asinus (donkey)
Lineage: Eukaryota; Metazoa; Chordata; Mammalia; Perissodactyla; Equidae
Description: lncRNA (ENSEASG00005028981.1)
Source: RNAcentral